GCGAUGAAUCAGGAGGCCGCUCACAAUCUGAUCAUUAAAAUGAUCAGAUUGUUUGAGAGGAAAGUCCGGACUCCGCAGGGCACGAUGCCGGGUAACACCCGGAUUUGACUGCUUAACCAACGGGAAGAUUCCGAUUAAAGGGUUUUUUUAAGGACAAGUAGUCAGAAUAGACAGCGCAACAGAAAGGAUACCGCCAUGCAAAAUAAACUUUGUUUAUUUUGCAUGGUAAGGGUGAAAGGGCGGGGUAAGAGCCCACCUCGGCAGCGGUAACGUUGCCGGAAAAAUCGGAUAAACCGGAAUACGGUAUGGAGUUUCGAAUGAAACUCCGAAGCCAUUUCGGCGAAGCCAAAAUGGCAAGCCUCAUCGGGAGCAAAGUCAAGCAGUGUUCAAUGGCCCAUUGAUUAAACGCGGGUAGACUGCAUGGAAACAGCCGGUAACGGCUGUUUAAGACAGAUGGCCUUAAGCUAUGGUUGAUGCCAUAACCGUUAUGGCUGAUGCCAUAACUUAACAGAAUCCGGCUUAUGGUUCAUCGCUUUU
This 537-nucleotide RNase P RNA is filed under the name Treponema sp. RNAcentral's name for it is "RNase P RNA component class A". It matches the Rfam family "Bacterial RNase P class A". Rfam says of the family: Ribonuclease P (RNase P) is a ubiquitous endoribonuclease, found in archaea, bacteria and eukarya as well as chloroplasts and mitochondria. Its best characterised activity is the generation of mature 5'-ends of tRNAs by cleaving the 5'-leader elements of precursor-tRNAs. Lineage: Bacteria; Pseudomonadati; Spirochaetota; Spirochaetia; Treponematales; Treponemataceae. The record is from RNAcentral.